AACCUUGCGCAGUGGCAAUAUCGUAACCAAUGAAGGUCUCCUGAGGUGCGAUUAUUGUUAGUUGAAAACUCGAGACCUGCAAAGCUAAUAUGCAUUGUGAUACUGGGUUCGAUUCCCCUGUCUUAGGCCUUGGAUUUUAUUUAAUGGUUAAUAAAAGAAAUUUACAGUAAAGUAUGUUUGCU
RNAcentral lists this small nuclear RNA (182 nucleotides) under Rhodnius prolixus. RNAcentral's name for it is "U4 spliceosomal RNA". The stretch from base 1 to 78 matches the Rfam family "U4 spliceosomal RNA". The record is from RNAcentral. Lineage: Eukaryota; Metazoa; Arthropoda; Insecta; Hemiptera; Reduviidae.